GUGCCAGCCGCCGCGGUAAUACGUAUGGGGCAAGCGUUGUUCGGAGUUAUUGGGCGUAAAGGGCGUGUAGGCGGCUCAUCAAGUCUGGUGUGAAAUCGACAGGCUUAACCUGUCAUAUGCGCUGGAAACUGGUGGGCUUGAGUUCUUGAGGGGAAGCUGGAAUUCCAGGUGUAGGGGUGAAAUCUGUAGAUAUCUGGAAGAACACCGGUGGCGAAGGCGAGCUUCUAUCAGAGGACUGACGCUGAGGCGCGAAAGCGUGGGGAGCAAACAGGAUUAGAUACCCUGGUAGUCCACGCUGUAAACGAUGUGCACUAGGCGUGGGGCACGUACGUGUUCUGUGCCGUAGUUAACGUGUUAAGUGCACCGCCUGGGGAGUAUGCUCGCAAGGGUGAA
This 393-nucleotide ribosomal RNA is filed under the name uncultured bacterium. Its description in RNAcentral is "bacterial SSU rRNA". It matches the Rfam family "Bacterial small subunit ribosomal RNA", at positions 505 to 898 of the family's 1533-position model. The record is from RNAcentral.